GGGGUUGUGGCUCAGUGGUAGAGCACUUGCAUAGCAUGUGCAGGACACUGUUCAAUUCUCAGCACCA
This 67-nucleotide transfer RNA is filed under the name Marmota monax (woodchuck). Its description in RNAcentral is "tRNA.Ala". The record is from RNAcentral. Lineage: Eukaryota; Metazoa; Chordata; Mammalia; Rodentia; Sciuridae.